UUGUUUAUAUGGGUUUUAUCUUCUGAUUCUGGUCUGGUCUUAGCUUUGGUCUUUUUGAUUUAGCUUUGGUCUUUUUGAUUUGUGCCUCUAAGUUUUAAUAGAUCUGCUGUGAUGAAAAAACCGUGUGCCAGAGAUGGAGACUAUGUUCUUUAUCGCUGACGGCUAAACACAACCCUCUAAGAAGUUCUGAGCUUUUUUCUAGAUCUAUUUUUUUCUUCUAUUGGUUGCUUUGAAACUUGUUUUGGAGUCGAGGUGACGAUAGAAAAUUCACAAGUCUGUCAAUCCCCUGAAACAUAUUGUGAUGUUAUUGUGAUAUCUCGACAGGAAUCCCUGGAAAGGCGAAUAAUGAGCAUAUCUGGAUGAUGGCGUAGGUUUAUUACCUUCCGUUAUCCUAUAUUUUGUCUUGACAAACUCAACUGUUCCUGUCUGAACCGAUCGAUUUCAACCUCUACUGUUCCUGUUUGAACCUAUCUAUUUCAACCUGUUCUAUGUCGUUACUGGUGUUCUGGUGUUAAUCUGUGGUAGUCUGUUAUAUGAAUUAUAAUUAAUUUUGUAAAAGAACCAGAAAUAAUAAUUACCAGCUCGUACGCUGUUAGUUUAUGUCU
This is a long non-coding RNA of Raphanus sativus (radish), 605 nucleotides long. RefSeq lists it as uncharacterized. The record is from RefSeq and is a predicted model, not a curated record. Lineage: Eukaryota; Viridiplantae; Streptophyta; Magnoliopsida; Brassicales; Brassicaceae. The transcript is spliced from 2 exons.